AAAAAAUCUCAUAAUGUCAACGAAGGUCACAUAAUGACCAUAAUUUCUACUGCCGGUAGUGGUCGAGAUCUGGUGAUAACACCUCCUCGGAUCUCGCCCGUCAAAAGCUUAAAAAUCUCUUCUUAAAUCAAAUCCCGUAAAUUAAAAGAAAAACCCAUAAAGAAAACAUGAAGGGUUCGCGCGCUCUCGUUGCCUCUGUUCUUACUGCCUCCACUGUAGCUUUAUCAUUAUCAUCAACAUCAGCCUCAUCUUCUUCCCCUAUGGUUUCUGAGGGUUCAUGAAGAUCGUUAUCAAUGGAGAAAAAUGGUGGGUUUAAGAAGGAGGAAUUUGAGACAAGAUUUGAUGGGUUAAGGUUUAUUGAGACCCUUGUCACGGCUCACAGAUGAUUAUGGAGUUAAUCAUUGAUUAUCGUGGUUAAUUUUGUUACUUGAGGAUUACGACGUGAUUAAAGAGAGAGAGGAGCUUUUUAAAAAAAAAUUGGUAAAAUUGAGUUAUUUGUCAUUUAUGAUUGGUUGUAAUUUGUAAGCAAAACUUCAAGGUCACCUGUUUUCUUUUUUAAUGUUUGUGUUGGAUUUUUAAAUUUGGUUUCUUUCUUACAUUUUAUUUUUGGUAAAAUUGAGUUAUUUGUCAUUUGAUAGAUUUUGUUUUGCUCAUGAGUUGUCAAAUCAUGUGUGGAAAGUAAUAAUGUGAGAAAGAUAAUGGUUGUGGAGUAAUGAUGUGGUGAUAGUUUUGUCAUUGGUUGCUGUUAUGUGGUGUUGCAGGGGUGGUGUAAUUAGUUGUCGUUAGGUGGGGUUUCAAUGAGGUGACAGUUGCAGCAGUGAUGGUGACAGUUGCAGGGGUGGUGUAAUUAGUUGUCCGUAGGUGAUAGUUGCAGCAGUGAUGGUGGUGGUGAAGGAUGAUUGGUUAAAGAAAAUAAAAAACGGUAAUAGGGUUCUGCAAUCAAAAUUCAAAGGGCUUGUGGGUGAAGGCCGAAAGGUUGCAAUGAUGGUGAUGGUUGCAGGGGUGGUGUAAUUAGUUGUUGUCGUUAGGUGGUUGCGGCAGUGAUGAUGAUAGGGAUGGUGGUCAGGUGACGAAGGAUGAUUGGCUAAAGAAAAGAAAAAUGGUAAUGGGGUUCUGCAAUCGAAGGGCUUGUGUGUGAAGGCCUAAAGUUUCGUUUUAUCUCUACAACCGCGCAAAUGGAAUCAAUUCCUUCAACUGUCCUGUUCAGGGCACAAAUCUUGUAAGGUAAAUUAUUUUUUGAAAAAUAAAUGUGGAAAAAGUGAAUUAUUUUUUAA
Long non-coding RNA from Populus trichocarpa (black cottonwood), 1274 nucleotides. RefSeq lists it as uncharacterized. The record is from RefSeq and is a predicted model, not a curated record. The transcript is spliced from 2 exons. Lineage: Eukaryota; Viridiplantae; Streptophyta; Magnoliopsida; Malpighiales; Salicaceae.